Molecule: ribosomal RNA, 403 nt
Filed under: uncultured bacterium
Lineage: Bacteria
Description: partial 16S ribosomal RNA
Rfam family: Bacterial small subunit ribosomal RNA
Source: RNAcentral
GACGAACGCUGGCGGCGUGCCUAAUACAUGCAAGUCGAACGCAGUGGGGACGGGUGAGUAACACGUGGGUAACCUCCCAUCAGAAGGGAUAACACUUGGAAACAGGUGCUAAACCGAUACUGAUGGAUGGACCCGCGGUGCAUUAGCUAGUUGGUGAGGUAACGGAUAAACAAGGCCACGAUGAAUAUCCGACCUGAGAGGGUGAUUGUCAACACUGGGACUGAGACACGGCCCAGAAGCCUACGGGAGGCAGCAGUAGGGAAUCUUCGGCAAUUGACGAAAGUCUGGUCGAGCAACGCCGCGUGAGUGAAGAAGGUUUUGGGAUCGUAAAACUCGUGUGUUAGAGAAGCGGUAGCUAACCAGAAAGCCACGGCUAACUAAGUGCCAGCAGCCGCGGUAAUUC